This 283-nucleotide unclassified non-coding RNA is filed under the name Hevea brasiliensis (rubber tree). Lineage: Eukaryota; Viridiplantae; Streptophyta; Magnoliopsida; Malpighiales; Euphorbiaceae. The record is from RNAcentral.
GGGAAAGAGAGGGAAGAACAAAGAAGACAUGGCAGAGAUCUGGAAACCCUAAAUUAAGGAUUAGAUCGAUGCAUGUAGUGGUGAUGAAACGCGAGCGUUUUCGCUGGUGAAUGAAAAGCUUGUGUUAAUGAAAGGAAAAAGGGACAGAAUGGUAAUUGGAGGAGGCUUGAACUAAGGACAGUACUCAUGAAGUUAGCAGAUUUUGGAGGUGGAACUGCACACACACACAGAGGGAGAUUGAAGGGAAGGAAAAAAUGCUAAGGUGAGAGCAGAUCUAGAUCUG